GAUGAACGCUGGCGGCGUGCCUAAUACAUGCAAGUCGAGCGAACAGAUGAGGAGCUUGCUCCUCUGACGUUAGCGGCGGACGGGUGAGUAACACGUGGAUAACCUACCUAUAAGACUGGGAUAACUGCGGGAAACCGGAGCUAAUACCGGAUAAUAUAUUGAACCGCAUGGUUCAAUAGUGAAAGACGGUUUUGCUGUCACUUAUAGAUGGAUCCGCGCCGCAUUAGCUAGUUGGUAAGGUAACGGCUUACCAAGGCGACGAUGCGUAGCCGACCUGAGAGGGUGAUCGGCCACACUGGAACUGAGACACGGUCCAGACUCCUACGGGAGGCAGCAGUAGGGAAUCUUCCGCAAUGGGCGAAAGCCUGACGGAGCAACGCCGCGUGAGUGAUGAAGGUCUUCGGAUCGUAAAACUCUGUUAUUAGGGAAGAACAAAUGUGUAAGUAACUAUGCACGUCUUGACGGUACCUAAUCAGAAAGCCACGGCUAACUACGUG
RNAcentral lists this ribosomal RNA (497 nucleotides) under uncultured bacterium. RNAcentral describes it as "partial 16S ribosomal RNA". It matches the Rfam family "Bacterial small subunit ribosomal RNA", at positions 28 to 507 of the family's 1533-position model. The record is from RNAcentral.